This 429-nucleotide ribosomal RNA is filed under the name Gemmatimonadota bacterium. RNAcentral's name for it is "Gemmatimonadetes bacterium partial 16S ribosomal RNA". It matches the Rfam family "Bacterial small subunit ribosomal RNA", at positions 355 to 776 of the family's 1533-position model. Lineage: Bacteria; Pseudomonadati; Gemmatimonadota. The record is from RNAcentral.
UAGGGAAUCUUCGGCAAUGGACGAAAGUCUGACCGAGCAACGCCGCGUGAGUGAAGAAGGUUUUCGGAUCGUAAAACUCUGUUGUUAGAGAAGAACAAGGACGUUAGUAACUGAACGUCCCCUGACGGUAUCUAACCAGAAAGCCACGGCUAACUACGUGCCAGCAGCCGCGGUAAUACGUAGGUGGCAAGCGUUGUCCGGAUUUAUUGGGCGUAAAGCGAGCGCAGGCGGUUUCUUAAGUCUGAUGUGAAAGCCCCCGGCUCAACCGGGGAGGGUCAUUGGAAACUGGGAGACUUGAGUGCAGAAGAGGAGAGUGGAAUUCCAUGUGUAGCGGUGAAAUGCGUAGAUAUAUGGAGGAACACCAGUGGCGAAGGCGGCUCUCUGGUCUGUAACUGACGCUGAGGCUCGAAAGCGAGGGGAGCAAACAGG